This 253-nucleotide ribosomal RNA is filed under the name uncultured bacterium. RNAcentral describes it as "partial 16S ribosomal RNA". It matches the Rfam family "Bacterial small subunit ribosomal RNA", at positions 524 to 776 of the family's 1533-position model. The record is from RNAcentral.
UACGUAGGGACCGAGCGUUGUCCGGAUUCAUUGGGCGUAAAGAGCUCGUAGGCGGCUGCUCAAGUCGAAUGUGAAAACUCGAGGCUUAACCUCGAGCUGUCGGCGGAAACCAUCUGGCUAGAGUCCGGAAGAGGAGAAUGGAAUUCCCGGUGUAGCGGUGAAAUGCGCAGAUAUCGGGAAGAACACCCGUGGCGAAGGCGGUUCUCUGGGACGGUACUGACGCUGAGGAGCGAAAGCGUGGGGAGCGAACAGG